AACCCUUGCCUUUAGUUGCCAGCAGUUCGGCUGGGCACUCUAAAGGGACUGCCGGUGUUAAACCGGAGGAAGGUGGGGAUGACGUCAAGUCCUCAUGGCCUUUAUGACCAGGGCGUACACACGUACUACAAUGGCCGAUACAAAGGGCAGCGACACUGCGAGGUGAAGCCAAUCCCGUAAAAUCGGUCUCAGCCCGGAUUGGAGUCUGCAACUCGACUCCAUGAAGUUGGAAUCGCUAGUAAUCGUGGAUCAGCAUGCCACGGUGAAUACGUUCCCGGGCCUU
RNAcentral lists this ribosomal RNA (283 nucleotides) under uncultured Desulfobulbus sp. RNAcentral's name for it is "partial 16S ribosomal RNA". It matches the Rfam family "Bacterial small subunit ribosomal RNA", at positions 1100 to 1382 of the family's 1533-position model. Lineage: Bacteria; Pseudomonadati; Thermodesulfobacteriota; Desulfobulbia; Desulfobulbales; Desulfobulbaceae. The record is from RNAcentral.